AACCCAUGGUAAGGGCAUUCCCUUUGGUACUCCUUGUAACGCUCCCAAGCAUCAUAGAAGGGUUCGUCAGUCUUUUUCUUAAAAUUGGAGAUCUUAAGCCUCAGAGAU
Molecule: non-coding RNA, 108 nt
Organism: Brassica napus (rape)
Lineage: Eukaryota; Viridiplantae; Streptophyta; Magnoliopsida; Brassicales; Brassicaceae
Source: Rfam